RNAcentral lists this ribosomal RNA (253 nucleotides) under uncultured bacterium. RNAcentral describes it as "partial 16S ribosomal RNA". It matches the Rfam family "Bacterial small subunit ribosomal RNA", at positions 524 to 776 of the family's 1533-position model. The record is from RNAcentral.
UACAGAGGGGGCAAGCGUUGUUCGGAAUUACUGGGCGUAAAGGGCGCGUAGGCGGCCUUCUAAGUCGAACGUGAAAUCCCCGGGCUCAACCCGGGAACUGCGUCCGAUACUGGAAGGCUUGAAUCCGGGAGAGGGAUGUGGAAUUCCAGGUGUAGCGGUGAAAUGCGUAGAGAUGUGGAGGAACACCGAUGGCGAAGGCAGCCCCCUGGGCUAACACUGACGCUCAGGCACGAAAGCGUGGGGAGCAAACAGG